UACGUAGGGUGCAAGCGUUGUCCGGAAUCACUGGGCUUAAAGGGCGCGUAGGCGGGUGCUCAAGUCCGUGGUGAAAUCCUCCGGCUCAACCGGAGAACUGCCUCGGAUACUGGGCGUCUCGAGUGUGGUAGGGGUAUGCGGAACUAUCGGUGGAGCGGUGAAAUGCGUUGAUAUCGAUAGGAACUCCGGUGGCGAAGGCGGCAUACUGGACCACCACUGACGCUGAUGCGCGAAAGCCAGGGGAGCAAACAGG
Molecule: ribosomal RNA, 253 nt
Filed under: uncultured bacterium
Lineage: Bacteria
Description: partial 16S ribosomal RNA
Rfam family: Bacterial small subunit ribosomal RNA
Source: RNAcentral